This 233-nucleotide non-coding RNA is filed under the name Clostridium sp. Its description in RNAcentral is "T-box sequence". It matches the Rfam family "T-box leader". From Rfam's summary of the family: Uncharged tRNA acts as the effector for transcription antitermination of genes in the T-box leader family. T-boxes are found upstream of many aminoacyl-tRNA synthetase genes and some amino acid biosynthetic genes usually in Gram-positive bacteria. The anticodon of a specific tRNA base pairs to a specifier sequence within the T-box motif, and the NCCA acceptor tail of the tRNA base pairs to a conserved bulge in the T-box antiterminator hairpin. Lineage: Bacteria; Bacillati; Bacillota; Clostridia; Eubacteriales; Clostridiaceae. The record is from RNAcentral.
AUAAAGACAGUGAAGAGAAGAGUAGGUAUAAAAUGUAGUUAUAGCGAUUUGAGGACGGUGAAAGCUCAAUACGAAGUUUAUAUUGAAGAACAUCUCGGAGUCUCUAACCGAAAUUUAAUAGAGUAGGCUUAGACGGAAGGUCCCGUUAUAGACCAUAAGCAAUGCUUAGCUAAGAGGCCAUUUUUAUGGCAAUUAGGGUGGUACCGCGAUAGUAAUAGUCUUUCGUCCCUUUA